GGGGAAUAUUGGACAAUGGGCGCAAGCCUGAUCCAGCCAUGCCGCGUGAGUGAUGAAGGCCCUAGGGUUGUAAAGCUCUUUCACCGGUGAAGAUAAUGACGGUAACCGGAGAAGAAGCCCCGGCUAACUUCGUGCCAGCAGCCGCGGUAAUACGAAGGGGGCUAGCGUUGUUCGGAUUUACUGGGCGUAAAGCGCACGUAGGCGGGCUAAUAAGUCAGGGGUGAAAUCCCGGGGCUCAACCCCGGAACUGCCUUUGAUACUGUUAGUCUUGAGUAUGGUAGAGGUGAGUGGAAUUCCGAGUGUAGAGGUGAAAUUCGUAGAUAUUCGGAGGAACACCAGUGGCGAAGGCGGCUCACUGGACCAUUACUGACGCUGAGGUGCGAAAGCGUGGGGAGCAAAC
RNAcentral lists this ribosomal RNA (400 nucleotides) under uncultured bacterium. Its description in RNAcentral is "bacterial SSU rRNA". It matches the Rfam family "Bacterial small subunit ribosomal RNA", at positions 356 to 773 of the family's 1533-position model. The record is from RNAcentral.